RNAcentral lists this long non-coding RNA (793 nucleotides) under Lynx pardinus (Iberian lynx). The record is from RNAcentral. Lineage: Eukaryota; Metazoa; Chordata; Mammalia; Carnivora; Felidae.
CAGAAACAAGAAGAAAUGGAAAAUAGCUGCAGCAUGUUUCCGACAUAUAAGUUUCUUUCUCUACAUGAAACACACAAUGAGAACACUUUAUAGAUGAAUUGUGCCUACGAUUGAAUAGAGAACAGUGCAAUUGCUUCAGUUUUGUGGAAUUGGAUAAUUUGUCACAGUUUCUGCCCUUGGAAAAAAUGACAACCCCAAGAAAAACUAGUGGAAAGGCUUUCUUAAAUAGGUAUAAAAUAUAAAACUGGUAUUUAGGGUACACAUAUGUGUUUUAAAAUAGUAUUUUUAAAAAAAUUACUAAGUUAUAAGGGGUGUUUUCAUCACCAGUGAGUGCCUAAAAAAAUUUCAUGUUCCAAUGUAUACCAUUUCUUACACUUUAAGCAAUAUUAUUAACCAAAAAAUCAUUUUGAGAUUACUCCAUGGUUACCACAGUUUUAUCUGACAACCUAUUUCUUGUUAUUGUUUAUUAUAUCAUGAAUAAUCCUUACUUUUAAAAUAAUGUACUAUUAAUAAAAUUAUACGUUAUAUAUGAUAUACAUAUAUAAAUUUACACACGUAUAAUACACCUAUAUAUGUAAUAUGUAAAAUAUAUUUAACUUUAUUUUCCUCUCAUAUCUAGAAACCGAUAAUUCAUCAGCAUAGUUGAAGGAGUAUUUUAAUAUUAAUUGCUGUUAUGACAGGAGCAGAAAUUUAGAAGAGAUCAAUUUUCAUAAGCCUGAGUAGAAAAACAUGAUCAACUGAUGCCCAUUUAUGGAAUUAUAGCAACAAUUUUACAGCCAAAAAUUUUUAGUUU